Molecule: ribosomal RNA, 361 nt
Filed under: uncultured bacterium
Lineage: Bacteria
Description: partial 16S ribosomal RNA
Rfam family: Bacterial small subunit ribosomal RNA
Source: RNAcentral
GCUACGGGUGUCAGCAGUGAGGAAUAUUGGUCAAUGGACGCAAAUCUGCACCAGCCAUGCCGCGUGCAGGAAGACGGCUCUAUGCAUUGUAAACUGCUUUUGUACGAGGGUAAACGCAGAUACGCGUAUCUGUCUGAAAGUAUCGUACGAAUAAGCAUCGGCUAACUCCGUGCCAGCAGCCGCGGUAAUACGGAGGAUUCAAGGGUUAUACGGAUUUAGUGGGGUUAAAGGGUGCUUAGGCGGUGGGAGAAGUUAGAGGUGAAAUACCGAGGCUCAACGUCGGAAUUGCCUCUUAUACUGUUCGGCUAGAGAGUAGUUGCGGUAGGCGGAAUGUAUGGUGUAGCGGUGAAAUGCUGAGAGA